RNAcentral lists this transfer RNA (87 nucleotides) under Caudoviricetes sp. Its description in RNAcentral is "tRNA-OTHER". It matches the Rfam family "tRNA". Rfam says of the family: Transfer RNA (tRNA) molecules are approximately 80 nucleotides in length. Their secondary structure includes four short double-helical elements and three loops (D, anti-codon, and T loops). The record is from RNAcentral. Lineage: Duplodnaviria; Heunggongvirae; Uroviricota; Caudoviricetes.
GGGUUGUUAAUUCAAUGGUAGAAUAGAUAAGGGAAUAUUCAUAAAACAAGGCGCCUUAUAACAGCGGUUCGAUUCCGCUACAAUCCA